GAUGAACGCUGGCGGCGUGCCUAACACAUGCAAGUCGAGCGAUUCUCUUCGGAGAAGAGCGGCGGACGGGUGAGUAACGCGUGGGUAACCUGCCCUGUACACACGGAUAACAUACCGAAAGGUAUGCUAAUACGAGAUAAUAUGCUUUUAUCGCAUGGUAGAAGUAUCAAAGCUCCGGCGGUACAGGAUGGACCCGCGUCUGAUUAGCUAGUUGGUAAGGUAGCGGCUUACCAAGGCGACGAUCAGUAGCCGACCUGAGAGGGUGAUCGGCCACAUCGGAACUGAGACACGGUCCAAACUCCUACGGGAGGCAGCAGUGGGAAGUAUUGCACAAUGGGCGAAAGCCUGAUGCAGCAACGCCGCGUGAGCGAUGAAGGCCUCGGUCGUAAG
This 390-nucleotide ribosomal RNA is filed under the name uncultured bacterium. Its description in RNAcentral is "bacterial SSU rRNA". It matches the Rfam family "Bacterial small subunit ribosomal RNA", at positions 28 to 429 of the family's 1533-position model. The record is from RNAcentral.